Platichthys flesus (European flounder) is the source of this 851-nucleotide long non-coding RNA. RefSeq lists it as uncharacterized. The transcript is spliced from 4 exons. Lineage: Eukaryota; Metazoa; Chordata; Actinopteri; Pleuronectiformes; Pleuronectidae. The record is from RefSeq and is a predicted model, not a curated record.
AAUCAGAUAAUGAUAGACAGGGACAAAGCCUGUGGCGAGCCUAACUAGCAUUAACCUUCAUUUAACUUAUACCUACAACGUCACAGCAUUUAUCAAACUUAUAAACACACAGAAUGGAGUAAACAGUCUUGCUUAGCAUGUAUAAUUAUUAAGCCCAGAUUAUGUAACCAGUCCGAGGGAAAGAGGAAAAGAAGUUGCUGUUCAGUUUGCAGUUCUGUGAUCUCUCCUGGCUUUGUGGUCGUAGAGUUCUGCAUUCGCAAUUUUGUCGAGCCGUGCCCAGCAGCAGCAGGUGCACCGGGAGACGAGCGAGGAGGACUCGACCAUGAUGAGCGAGUGGAGGCAGACAUGGUUGUUGUGAUAUAUUUGAGGAGUCGUUCUCCCUCUGUUUUAUAUGUGGACAUUUGGGACCACUGUUAGAAUUUGGUUGACCACUUGACAUGUGAGAGCCUGAGGAGUUGUUCCCCCUCUGUCCAUGUUCGAGGACUUGCUCUCUGUCUGCCUCCACUCUCUGCCUUCACUGUACCAAAGUUUGUCUGUUGAGUCUCCUCUAGUCUGGUUGACCACUUGACAUGUGAAAGCCUGAGGAGUUGUUUUCCAGACACAGUUAGAGCUGGCAGGGGCGUCACCCUUGGCCUGCCCUUUUGAGCUGGGCUUCAGCUGCAGAUCUAAAGGCUGCUUCCAAGGGCAUGGGGCCCUCAGCCCUUUUCUUUGCUUCUGCACCUUACAACAUAUAUCACACCUUAUUUUCACACAUCCAAACACUGUUAAUACCACUGACGCGUAACAUAUUUUACAAAUCCCACUACGUAGUUAGAGCUAUCUGGAGUUAAAUAAAUUUACUUUUGGCUUGA